RNAcentral lists this ribosomal RNA (392 nucleotides) under uncultured bacterium. RNAcentral describes it as "bacterial SSU rRNA". It matches the Rfam family "Bacterial small subunit ribosomal RNA", at positions 28 to 418 of the family's 1533-position model. The record is from RNAcentral.
GACGAACGCUGGCGGCGCGCUUUAUACAUGCAAGUCGAACGUGAAGCUCGGAGCUUGCUCCGGGUGGAAAGUGGCGAACGGGUGAGUAUCACGUGAGAAACCUGCCCCGAAGACCGGGAUAACACCGGGAAACCGGUGCUAAUACCGGAUGCCCUCACCGGAUCGCAUGGUCUGGUGAGGAAAUGGAUUCCGCUUCGGGAUGGUCUCGCGGCCUAUCAGCUUGUUGGUGGGGUAACGCCCACCAAGGCUUCGACGGGUAGCUGGUCUGAGAGGAUGUCCAGCCACACUGGGACUGAGACACGGCCCAGACUCCUACGGGAGGCAGCAGUAGGGAAUCUUGCACAAUGGACGAAAGUCUGAUGCAGCGACGCCGCGUGUGGGAUGACUGCCCU